GAGUUUGAUCAUGGCUCAGAUUGAACGCUGGCGGCAGGCCUAACACAUGCAAGUCGGGCGGUAGAGAGAAGCUUGCUUCUCUUGAGAGCGGCGGACGGGUGAGUAAUGCCUAGGAAUCUGCCUGGUAGUGGGGGAUAACGCUCGGAAACGGACGCUAAUACCGCAUACGUCCUACGGGAGAAAGCAGGGGACCUUCGGGCCUUGCGCUAUCAGAUGAGCCUAGGUCGGAUUAGCUAGUUGGUGAGGUAAUGGCUCACCAAGGCGACGAUCCGUAACUGGUCUGAGAGGAUGAUCAGUCACACUGGAACUGAGACACGGUCCAGACUCCGUACGGGAGGCAGCAGU
Molecule: ribosomal RNA, 345 nt
Filed under: uncultured bacterium
Lineage: Bacteria
Description: bacterial SSU rRNA
Rfam family: Bacterial small subunit ribosomal RNA
Source: RNAcentral